Molecule: long non-coding RNA, 5296 nt
Organism: Megalobrama amblycephala (Wuchang bream)
Lineage: Eukaryota; Metazoa; Chordata; Actinopteri; Cypriniformes; Xenocyprididae
Exons: 5
Source: RefSeq, a predicted model, not a curated record
AAACAGGCGAAUCAUCUAACUGCCAGUGUGGGGCUCUGUUGAUGGCCUAUGAUUACGGUGGCCGACGGGGGAUGAAGAAAAACAGAUUCUCAAAGAUGGGCAACUGAGAUAUCUGCAGGGUUUAGGUGGAAAAACACAUGAUCAUGGUUUGAUUGUGCUUAAACAUACACACUUAGAAUGUAAAAACAGCACCUGCAUCUCUGUUUACACGUCACACUCUUGAGUAUCAGUUCUAUCUGUCAGCAAAGGAAAAUAAUGCAGCCAUGAUUCCUGAACAUACAUUCCUCAAAGCAAUCUCUUCACCUCAUAAAACACCAACUUUUGAUCAAUAUAGUCAGGUUACCAGAGCUCUUAUUUAAAAAUCUGUGAAAAAGCAUGUUUUCCAAAGUGAAAGAGGACCGAUUACAGACAGCUGUGGCACUCCAAAUGUGCCUCUCCACCCCAUGGUUAGGACAGCAGUUAGUGAGGGACUUCCUGCAUGGAAAGCUGUGUAUGUUUUCCUUCAGUGAAUUGAACAUCCUGCAGAUCUUAAAUUCCAGUCAACAGUAAACUCCCUGACCUCUGAGCACAAAAUUAGGCACAUCAUAUAAGCAAGAGACAAAAGGGAAAGGGAAAGGAGGGACUGAAAAACAAAACAGAAAGAUAGAGAUACAAAAGAUGACAAAUUAAGAAUGAGAGAUAAUGCAAUUUUGUAUACACAUUUUCUUUGUAAGUUUGUAUGAAAAGGAUUACAGGAAAAGGACACUAGUUUACAUGAUUAAUUAUAAGCUAUAUGACUAAAACAGUUACAUUUUCAAUAGCAUUAUAUAAUAUAUAUAAUGUAAUCAGGUUAAUUUAGUCAAAUUAAUAUUUUUUACCAAUUUAUUUAUGUUUCCACUUGAAACAAAUUUGUGGUUACAUGAUAACAAACUUUUUUUUUUUUUUUUUUUUUUUUGCAGUAUAACUAAUCACAGGAAAAAUGGGACAAUGAAUAAAGCAACCCAUAUAAAUAGAUCUAGUCAUUGUAUUGUAAUGCUCGUAAACAUCCAGACUCUUUUUACAUAUAUGUGAGAUCCAUUACUCUAUUAUGACACAUGCAUGCAAUAUUAGGGAUCAUUCUGUAUUAUACCAUUCUGAAGUCUGAUGUUUUCUAUGUCUGAAAACACAAUUAUGUUUUUAGCCAUGAAAGUGUCAGAUUUCAUCUUUUAUUACAUGGACAGGGUUGUCAGUUGCAACAUAUGCGGUGAACCCUAUCUGCCAAUGUGUUUAUUGAGCUAUUAUCAAUUGACUGAUGAAACAAACUACUCACCAGUCAACAUAUGUUUCUAAUUUGCUGGAUUUAUUUGAUUUUAAACCACAUGUUUUCUGUUUUAAGUGAUUAUGAAGGUUUGCAAGAGAGCUUUCUUUGCGGAUCACAAACAAUAUGAUUUUACAAUUGUAUGUUUUUGGCAUUAGGGGCAGUGGCAAUUUUGUCCUGGGGAGAUGAGAGGCAUUUUUUUCCCUUCUAUGAGGUAUAUUUUACUAUUUAAUAAACAUGGAAAUAAUAAAGUUAAUAAAUGUAACUUAUGCCACCUCAUCCCACAAUCACAAAAUAUAUUAAUUUGCUAUAUAUUCAGUUUUUAUUUUUUACCUCCUUCCUCUUGUCCUGAAAUAUCCCCUUAUUGCUAGUCAUCUAUAAGAAAAAGCUUAAAGGUAAGUGUCAUCCCCUCAUUACCUUGAAGAGCUUGUUCUGCCUUAUUUAUGUUCCCCACUCCCUGUGGUUUAGUUGUGUAGCAGCACCACAAGUACACAACAACUGAUAAAUUUAGAGAUGCCAUCCUAUAAUGUAAAUACUAAAUGCAGAGCAGUAAUCUUCUAUGUAUUUUUUAUAUGCAGAAUGUAUAUGAUGUUGAAGUUUGAUAUAUUUGAAUGCCUCCAAAUAAAUUACUUUGCAUAUGUGCAUAUUAACAUCUUUUCUUCUGUUUCUCAUUGCCUGCGUUUCUCUUUGUCUGAAAUCAUAUGCUUUAUCUGGAGUAUUACUGUGUACAGCUCUCAAAGGACAGAGAUGUUUCCCAGAGCAGAUCACAUGACCCUAUCAUGUGCUAUCAUAGAAGUUGUUCUCUUAUUGGAAGCAGGUCUCCAAAGAAAUGCACUCCUGCAUCACAGUGCCUGAUCACUGGAACAAUACAUUGGGCUGCGGGAUUGCAGCUGUGUGGCGGGUGCCACCACACUGUUCAUGUCUUGCCUGUAUGUGUGUGCCUGUGUGUGCGAGCGAGCGAUCCCUUGGGGCUCUCUCCCUCAGCCCUGGCUCCCUGAUUCGGCAGAAUGCCAGCGUUUGCUGCUUCCCACCUCCUUCCCGGAGACUCCCGGCCAUAAUAGACGGUAAUGGCCUAAGACAAAUCAACCCGUUUCUUGUAAAAAUAGCAGCAAAUAACCCCUGACUUUGCCUCACGAGCGUAAACCAGAGAGAAGCUCGAUUCUGACAGCCACAUUCACAGCGGGCAUUAACCCCAGGAGAAAGCUCGCGCUCCACUUGAACAAAGCCAUAAGUCUUGAAUACUUACAUCCCCCACUCACAGCUCAGAAUGGAUUGGUAAUGACCGACUGUCUGGCUGUGCAGGUUAUAUGCGCUUUGCCUCGGCCAAUCACAGGAACGAGUGACCUCAGAGAUGUUUACAACACCAUCCUGCCAAGCAACAGUUUCUGUGCAUUAGUUGAACACAUGGAUAUCAUAUUUAAGCACCACAGUGAGAAGCCUAACAAAUGUAGCCUAUAAACACUCACCCCUGACUGUGUUUGCUAGCUCAGGGGCUGUUGUUGUGAUGUUGCAGGCCUGGGCAGAGGAUGAGAGAGUGUGUGGAGCUCUGGCCAGGACCCUAUAUGUGGACUCUGAAGGGCUUGGAACACAUAAUAUGCAGAAACACACACACACACAAAAAGAUUAAACAAAAUGUACAGUCAGAGCUGAUGUGCAUCCUCAGUCAAGUGGUGAUUCCAAAUCAGUAGUUUAGAAAUGUUCUGUCUGAGUGCAAUACUUCAAAUUAACUGUAGGCAAUUACACAUUGAACAUGUCACAUGAUCAUGAGUGCCGUAAUUCUCCUUAUAAAACAGGUAACUAAUAUUACAUCACCCCAGCUAAAAUGGCCCGUGUUUGAAUAUUUUCAAGUGAAAACGCAUUGCUUUGUAACAUUUAUAUGUAUGCAUUUGGCAAACACUUUUAUCCAAAGCGACUUACAUUGCCUUCAAGGUACACAUUUACAUUUUUAUCAGUUCUUGCUUUCCCUGAGAACCAAACCCAUGACCAUUGUGAGCUACAGAAAAAUAAGCCUGUGAUAUUACAGACUAGUUUCUCUUUGUCUCGCUUUCUUUUUUUUUUUCCUUCUUUCUUAUACCAUGGUAAGGACAGAAUAGUUUAUAAGGAAAACAAUACAGUCAUUUAAGAACAAACUAAAGAUAUUUCAAUUUCAUAUUUGACACAUUUUAAAACAUUUUUUUUUAAAAAGCAUCCAUUCUUUUUAUAUACAUUUUUAAAUAAAACCUUUGACUAGUGAUAUUAAAUGCAGUGUAGUCCAGUAAUUUAUGCUUACAAGACAAUAAAGUCUUACACAGAUUAAAUUACGGUGGUUCUUCACCCCUCAAGUCUUGAAUGACCAAUUCGACACCUUGCAUACACAAUAUGAUUGUGUCUUAGUUUUAAAAGAGAAAAAAGUACAUUUCAGUUAUACAAUUUUGUUAUGAAUACACUCAUCCUAUUCCAUUUACCAUUUUUUUUUUUUUUUAAAGAUGUACUCUUUCAGUUUUGAGUUCCCCAUCUCUGUUUGUAUGAGCAGAAUCAUUUACUGUCCACUGAAGGCACUGCAGUGUGAACACUCAAAAGACUUUUUUUUUCCCACAGACCAAAUCAAUCCUAAUGCCCUUUCAGCUCUGUCUAGAAACAAAGUCCUUCAACACUGAUGCUGUGGGUGGAAUUAGGUAAUCUCAGCUAUGAUACUAACUCAUUGCUAGCCUCUUCCCAGGCUCCUUGCUGUCAAGAGCUGUGUUCCUCUCAGAAAAACAACAGUUCUCAGGGGUCCUUACAUCCUUAAGUGGCUCCAGAAAAGGUUAGUUGUCAGGUAAUUGUCCAGCUGCGGUUUGGCUUAUCUUAAUCACAGUGCUUCAACAUAAGCCUGGGUCUGUGUUAUGAAGAGGCUAACGGUGCUAAAGGGGUGGCUAGCUGGGGGAUUUUGUUGUUCUUUUUCUCUUUUUGUGAAUGCCUGGUGUGCUGAGAUAGCCAGAGCAAAGUAUAGCAAGUUAGCGUCAAGCUACAAAACAUAAUGUGGACAAAGUGUUGGACUACUGUUGAUACACACAACAAUAUUUCAUGCAGAAGAAAAACAAAAAGAACAAAUGGAACGGAAACACAGCAACACCUUUGAGCCGUGUAGAACCAAACAAGCAAGUCAAGGCGCAAUCCAUUUGUCGUGGUUUGUUAUGUAUAUCUGUAAAGUGCAGAAACUUGAGGCUUUGUGAAGCCUUUGAUGUUGGCACUGAGUCACUCUUUAAGGGGACAGGUUGGAGAAAACUGUAUUCAGGAUCCAUAACGCUAUACAGGGUCCUUUGGUAACAUUAAACAAAAUAACAACAACUAAGAAGGCCUUUUACAAGGGUCAGCAAAUGCAACCAAACAUCUAUUAACUCAGUACUUCGAAGCCAAAUUAAAAUAUACAAAACAAGCACAGAUCUCUGAUCAUAGAAGCGCUAAAACUGUAAACCGAGUUCAUUCAACCUUUGCAGCAUUUAUUCUGAUAGUAGUUUGCAGUGGUGACACAUAGUCUGCUGUCAUUUUGCUCCAACGACGUCAAAGGUCGAACACAAACUAUAAAAUAUUUGUCGGGGGUCCAUCAAUAAUCCUGACAUGCGGACCCAUACAGAGGCAGAAUGAACUGUCUCGACAAAAGCAUCUGGUACACAUGUUGACCCAGAGGCCAAAAGGUUAGCAGCCAGACUCCUCUACCCAUCCCCACUAUGCUUUCAUAUGUUCAUUUGAUGGUCGCUGUGGCAAUUAUAAAGGUAUACUUCAGCCAGGUCUAAUGGACUAGGGGCAAAGAGCAAAGCCUUUACAGUGGGGACUCAAGUCAAAGGUUAGCAUGGCCAUAAGACUGAUUAUGGAGCAUUCGAUGAAAUGGAAAGACGCGGGCAGCGCACAUGCUGAACUGCUCAUCUUUAUGCAUAUCUUAACUAUGAACAUGUCUUAUGGAAAACACAUUAAUGAUCAUUUUAGUUGUCAUGCAGUAGAUGUUGUUUUUGUUGUCUAGAUUGCCACCGGCUUUUAAUGACUAUUAAAUAUGAAUGGCCAAGG